RNAcentral lists this ribosomal RNA (636 nucleotides) under uncultured bacterium. RNAcentral's name for it is "bacterial SSU rRNA". It matches the Rfam family "Bacterial small subunit ribosomal RNA", at positions 740 to 1397 of the family's 1533-position model. The record is from RNAcentral.
ACGACGGUGAGCGGCGAAAGCGUGGGGAGCAAACAGGAUUAGAUACCAUGGUAGUCCACGCGGUAAACGAUGAAUGCCAGACGUCGGGCAGCAUGCUGUUCGGUGUCACACCUAACGGAUUAAGCAUUCCGCCUGGGGAGUACGGUCGCAAGAUUAAAACUCAAAGGAAUUGACGGGGGGCCGCACAAGCGGUGGAGCAUGUGGUUUAAUUCGAAGCAACGCGCAGACCCUUACCGACCCUUGACAUGGGUAUCGCGGAUUCAGAGAUGGAUCUUUCAGUUCGGCUGGAUACCACACAGGUGCUGCAUGGCUGUCGUCAGCUCGUGUCUUGAGAUGUUCGGUUAAGUCCGGCAACGAGCGCAACAUCACACCCUUAGUUGCCAGCAUUCAGUUGGGCACUCUAGGGGAACUGAAGAUGAUAAGUCGGAGGAAGGUGUGGAUGACGUCAAGUCCUCAUGGCCCUUACGGGUUGGGCUACACACCUGUUACAAUGGCAGUGACAAUGGGUUAAUCCCAAAAAGCUGUCUCAGUUCGGAUUGGGGUCUGCAACUCGACGCCAUGAAGUAGGAAUCGUUAGUAAUCGUGUAACAGCAUCCCGCGGUGAAUACGUUCCCGGGCCUUGUACACACCGCCCGU